RNAcentral lists this long non-coding RNA (220 nucleotides) under Panax ginseng (ginseng). RNAcentral describes it as "long non-coding RNA (PGIN_LNC001693)". Lineage: Eukaryota; Viridiplantae; Streptophyta; Magnoliopsida; Apiales; Araliaceae. The record is from RNAcentral.
GUGUUUUUUGGUGGUGUGAAUUGAUCCUUACACAAGAACAAUUUGUGGGCUCGAGUUUCAAUGGAGUUUAAACCUGACUAGCACUUGGCUUAGCAAGGAUUAAUGGAGUAAAUGAGUAAACAAGGAAGCUAGGCUAACAAAUGUACUAUAACAGUAUGCUAAUACUUGGUUAAAACUAAAACUGAGCAGUGGGAAAGUUUGUAAACAAUUUAGAUGAUCU